GAUGAACGCUGGCGGCGUGCCUAAUACAUGCAAGUCGAGCGAACAGAUGAGGAGCUUGCUCCUCUGACGUUAGCGGCGGACGGGUGAGUAACACGUGGAUCACCUACCUAUAAGACUGGGAUAACUUCGGGAAACCGGAGCUAAUACCGGAUAAUAUAUUGAACCGCAUGGUUCAAUAGUGAAAGACGGUUUUGCUGUCACUUAUAGAUGGAUCCGCGCCGCAUUAGCUAGUUGGUAAGGUAACGGCUUACCAAGGCAACGAUGCGUAGCCGACCUGAGAGGGUGAUCGGCCACACUGGAACUGAGACACGGUCCAGACUCCUACGGGAGGCAGCAGUAGGGAAUCUUCCGCAAUGGGCGAAAGCCUUACGGAGCAACGCCGCGUGAGUGAUGAAGGGCUUCGGAUCGUAAAACUCUGUUAUUAGGGAAGAACAAAUGUGUAAGUAACUAUGCACGUCUUGACGGUACCUAAUCAGAAAGCCACGGCUAACUACGUG
This 497-nucleotide ribosomal RNA is filed under the name uncultured bacterium. RNAcentral describes it as "partial 16S ribosomal RNA". It matches the Rfam family "Bacterial small subunit ribosomal RNA", at positions 28 to 507 of the family's 1533-position model. The record is from RNAcentral.